AUAAUGCCUAACUUGUAUAUAUUUACACGAAACUGUUGGAUGAUACAAGUUGUAGAAGACUUGAAGAAGAAAUUUGAAAACCCCUACCUAGGCAAGAGAUCUUAGGGCACCCUUCAUCCACUGUUGAGCCCCUUAUUUAUCCAAGUACUGUUUCUUAAUAGGAGAAAGGAAGUCUCUCAGAAACUCCACCGUAGACUUGAGAUUCUUUGUCAUGAAUGGAGCAGAGGUCGCCAGUUGCGAAGGUCCUAUUCAAGUGACUGCU
This 262-nucleotide long non-coding RNA is filed under the name Elaeis guineensis (African oil palm). RNAcentral's name for it is "long non-coding RNA (EGUI_LNC020737)". Lineage: Eukaryota; Viridiplantae; Streptophyta; Magnoliopsida; Arecales; Arecaceae. The record is from RNAcentral.